CACAGGGACACAGAUGAGAUUGACUCCUGUCUCUUUAGGGGUUGAAUCUCAAUGCAAAGCUUUUAUUUUCUCAAAAACCCAUUGUCAUAGUAUUGGCCUCCAGCACAUAGGGCAGUGAGCCCCUUUAGGUUGAUACCACUGUUCCCUCCUAUGGGCGAUGUCAUUUAUCUUCAUUGGGCUCUACUAUCUUCAGAGGUUCUUCUUUUGUGGAAUUGCUUUCUGAUUUUUCAAAGUUCCAUGGCAUCAGUUUCUUCUAGUGGUUAAGAGUGGCCAGCAAGUCACCUUCUCAUGAAGGCUGUUUGUACACCCUCCUGGGGGCCAGAGCAAACUCUGCCAAGACACCAGCCAUGUUUUUGAGGCUUCUCUCCCAAGCAGACUCUGCAACCUCUCUGCAAGAAUGUGCAGACUAUAGCAUGUUUGUGGCAGCCUCACAUACUGAUCCUAGAGCACUUAUAUCUUCCUCAGUGUCAACUUCAAAACAACCUUUCUGUGAAGCUUUGUUAGAUCUAAUAGGAUGCAUGUCUCAUCGACAAAGUGAUUCAGAAAAUGCAAGCAGUCAUCUUCAUCACAGUCCUAUGGACUUCCAGGCUGAGGUGACACGCAGGGCAGGACUGACAGGUAGGCCAAAGUUCUGGGUAGAGAAGGUGGCACCAGGCAAAAGGUUUGGAAAUUGAGUGGAGGGCCUAGGACCAUUGCAGCCAGGAACUGAGAAAGCUGGGGUUGGGACUCGGGGAGAGGGAAGAUGUAGGCCAUAGACUGUAGUCUGACCGUGAGACUCAGGGGAGGAUGCGGUUGAGAGCAUGGAGAGGGUGUCCUUGGGAGAGGACCUAGGAAAUAAGCCUCCAUGAAAGGGCCCUGGAGCAGGAGCUGAAGCCUAAUUGACAUAUCAUCACCCCAUCCCUUCAUGCCCAGCCUCUCUCUGCUGGGAUCACUCCCUGGCAACCAGCUUUUUAUCAAUCCCCUCUACCUGGCUGGCAAAUCCUGAGCUUCACUCCAGGUGGUCACAAUCUGACCCUUGUGACCUCAUGCUUCCCCACCCCCAUUUGUGAAGUUCCAUCACAGGAAGUUCUUCUCCAGUGGCCCCUGAUCCAGGGAGACCCACCCUGCAACAGCCCUUGUCUCCCUCCGCCCUUGGUUCCUUCUCACCCAUCUCACCACCAUCUGCCCAGGGGAGCCACAUGUCCCAAAUUUUGGAGAGAAAAUAAUUGAGGCUCAUUUCCAGGACAGAGGGGCAAGCUGGGUCUAAAGAGCCAAGCAGAAAGGCUUCCCAAAAUCGCUAGGUUGGGAGGGGUCAGAGACGUGUGGCUGCCCCAGCUGUUCUGACUCUGCCCCAGCUUUUGGCUCCACCCCCUUAAAGCACCUUCAGAGGUUCCCAUGGCGACAGUAAACAAGUCUCCACUGCCUUGGCCAUGUGCUGUGUUCACCCCACUCCUGAUCUUGUUGGCUGCUCAGGGGCUGACAGCCCAGAUGUGCAGCUGUGAUGAGCAGAAACAGGGAGGAAUGGAGCCCCCAGCCAUUGUCAUCACUUCCCUGAUCUGCCUAAAUUCUGCCCAGCAGUCCGUGAAAAUGGUUUGCUGAUGACAUAUGUAAGGACUUUAACUCCCCUCAAGCAAUCUGCUCAUCUCAAAGGGGCACAAAAGCUCUAGAAAUACAAAGCUGCAGAGGAUGGACGUGUUCUGCCUUUCAUUUCUCAAGACAGAUUUGCAAUGAUCAAGAGGCGUCCUGUGAAUGCAGUUUGCAAAGGACUUAGGCACACAGCAUCUCCUUUGUUCUCACCACAAGGCUGCCGGGUGUGCAGAUGUGAGGAUUAUUUCAAUGGUGAAGAAGCAUCCUGAGAGGUUACGUAGUUCAACUAAUGUCACACCAAGAGGAGAGCAUCUGGGCAUUUGGACAUGGAAGGUGUGGGGCACAAGCAUCUCAUGGCCAGGGAACGGGGGAGGAGCAUCUCAGAGCUGCAUCAGAGUUCAUGCUGGUCCUAGGACAAGAGUCAAGCACACCCUGCUUUCACCAGCUGCUGGUAGCUUUCACUCAGGCCACCUCUCUUUGCCAGUCUUGACAAAUAAUUUCUUAGUGAAGCACCUAUUUCAGGCUGAGCCACAAGAUGUCAGCCUAAGCUUAGUCAUUUUGAAUUUUCCUGGCCCUUGAAACAACUACAUUUUUUCACUUUUAUGACCAAGAAAAAGUCUGAGAAGCUCACGACCCCUCAGGAUUAGGUACAGAGACCACAGCAGCUGCUUGCCCUGGGAGCUCUUCAUGCCUG
RNAcentral lists this long non-coding RNA (2260 nucleotides) under Homo sapiens (human). RNAcentral's name for it is "non-protein coding LINC01723:21". The record is from RNAcentral. Lineage: Eukaryota; Metazoa; Chordata; Mammalia; Primates; Hominidae.